RNAcentral lists this long non-coding RNA (3592 nucleotides) under Homo sapiens (human). RNAcentral's name for it is "HSALNT0053361". The record is from RNAcentral. Lineage: Eukaryota; Metazoa; Chordata; Mammalia; Primates; Hominidae.
CUGGACUCAUUUCAGGACUCUGAGCAGAGUUCUUAGGUCUGUAAGCCAAGCCACUUCUGUUUCUCUUUUGAGUUGCUAUAAAGUACAGACGAUUCUACCAACCUUGACACAAACGCCCAGCUGCCCCCAGUUCAGUGCCACAGAGAAAAGCCUUGCAGAACAGGUUGAGUUUGUGGAUGGGCAUGGGGUAGAAGGUAUCAUCUCUUCUCUAUCAAUGACUUGGGUGAUACUUCUGGCAACAAAACAGACAGUUCUCGGCCUCUGUGUUUUCAUUGUCCAACUGAAGAUUAGACAAGAGGCAGCAUGGGGUGGUGGAUAAAUCGUGGACCAGGAUUGAAGCGAAGAUCUGCUCAUCUGGGACACUCACCAGGUUGCAUUCCGUAGAAGCAGAUCCUGAUAAGAUGAUGAAGUGCACAUGUCUCUUGAGAAAAUGCUCUCAGGAGAAGGGGGGAAGGUAAGCCAGGUGCAGCAGAGGACUGAGCAAGGUUGGGGUCUCAGCUGGACACUUCUUGGACCUGUUCCCACGGGAGCUCUGGAGUAUGAACUGUACCACAGAAUUGUCUCACCUAGAGGGAGAAGCUUACUGCUGUUUUCAUGGCUCUGCAUGCCCGGGGAAAGAGGAAGGCCACAGGAAGGUGACAGCUGAGGCAGGGUAUAACAGCAGGUCCCCAGGGUGGGUCAUUCACUGGGCUGACAAUCCAGUUGAUGCUUGCUUGGGUUGGGGCUCUGUGCUAAUUUGGAUGCUGACAGCCAGGUGACAGCAGCAGAGGGAAAGUAAGCUGAGAAGCAGAGAGGGGGAACCUUGAAAUGAUGCCUCUAAACGAUGGUUGACUUGUUUGUGACAUCACACCCCUAAGGCAUAGCUCUUUCCCCUGGGAGGGAUGCUGAGUGGCAAGUAGGCAGGCUGGGUACAUUUCCUUUUGGGAUGUGGUAGCGACAGUGUCCUACAGAGUCAGACUGGUGGCUUUAACAUCACAGGGCUUUGUCCAGCUGGAUCCGGAUAUCCAUUUGUCUAGAUUCCAUUUUCUCUGCUUCCUUUUUUAUUCCAGUAGAUAUAGCAGGCUUUCUCCCUGUAGCCAUGCAGAAGAGAUACAACUCAGAGGUGAUUCCUCUCAAAGGACAUAUUAGAUUCUUGAAGAGAGUCUAACAGGUUUAAGUGGGUCAGAUGCCAUGACUCAACAGCUUCCCCUUGAUCCUUUAAUCUCACAUCUGAAGCAUAAGACCUAUCCAGGUUACUUGGGGCAGCACCACCAUUGUACCAUUAAGGCUUCUCUUUCAGAAGGAUGAAUAAUCCAUCUGCAGCACUAUUUUACACUCUAGUUCAAUUCAAGACUCUGAAUAUGAUUUAUAAGUGUGAGUGAUUAUUUUAAGAUCAACCAGGGUUAAGCCAGGGAAAUUCUGUCCUCUGGUAGGGAGCCUCAAUGACCAGACCACUGUAAAGCCCCAGGAAUGCCAAGAACUCUGAAGAAGAAAGAUUCACCUCUAAGUGAGUUGGAGGAGGCAAAGACAAAAAACAAAAAACAAACAGUACAGGCCUUAGACUAAGGAGUGUGGGAAUGAGUUUCACCUCCAUUUCCAGCAACUGCCACGCAUAGAGUCUCUUCCAAAAAUGCCGGUGGCCUCAAAGAAGAGACAGCUGCUUCCCCAGCCCCUCAUUCAUCACCUGCUUGCUGGCCUAGGACUGAUAAGACAGAUCCAGAUCAAAUUACCUGGCAGCUGGGAGAGCAAGGAGAUAAGGAAAGGCAAGCUUAGGAGAAGUUCAGUAGAGUAGCAAAGAUCAAAUUGUGUAUUAAAUUUUCCAGGAACUAAAACCUUGCUCCCUCUGCAAACCCAGGGGAGGCACCUCCAAUCAGUCAGCACCAAACAGUGUUCCCAGGAGAAAAGCAAUGCCUUCAGCUUCUACUAGGAAUUAAGAAAACAGAGUACUGAGACCAAUUUAUUAUCACGCAGUUGGAUGAUAGGAAAAUGAAAACAAAGGUUAGAGGUGAACAUUAUAGAGGAGCCGAGUGGCCAAUGGCCAGAGAAACUUCAGGCAACAGAAGGAACACUGGGCUGAGCAAAAGACUUGGAUUCUUGUUCUAGCUCCAUCUCUCUCCCUUUGAAAAUGCACUUGAACCCCUCUGGGCUUUAUUUUUUUUUAUUUAUUUAUUUAUUUAUUUAUUUAUUUAUUUAUUUAUUUAUUUAUAAAAUGGUGGGGUGAGGAUUUCUUCAAGCUAAGAUCUUCCUGGCUUGAAGCUCUUAAAAUUUCUUGUUACUGCAGUCUUCCUAAGACAUUCCAUCUGAUGGUUUAUUCUUUUGACUCUGCCAUUUUACUCAACUAAACCUCAAAAUUCUUGACUAUGGAAGCCUCCAGAGGUGUUGUUAAAGCUUUAACUCUUUCAUUAAAAGCCAUGUGACUUGCUUUAUCCAAUGGGAGGUUAGUAGAUGUGACACAAACAAAUGCUCGAAAGAGUACUUGCAUGUUUCCAUUUACGUUUCUGUUCUUGCCUUCUGUCAUCACCAUGACAACAUGCCCAGUCUGGCUCCUGGAGGAUGGGACACACAACGUGGGAACCGGCAAGUCACCAGAGUCAUCUCAGCCAAGAUCAACCAAUAGUCAAUUACCAGGAACGUGAGAGAAUUCUGAGACCAGGACUGCUCAGCCACCUCUGCCUAAAAUACCAACACACAGAACAGUAAAGUGAAUGGAUGUUUAUUAUCCUAAGCCACUAUAUUUUGAGAUUGUACCUCAUGCAGCACUAUUAUGACCAUAGGUGACUGAUAUAAAAAGUAAGGAAUUAUGAAUCAUAAGAAAAAGAUGAACCAAGGAAAGAAUCAGCUUUGAAGAGGUGGUAAACUAUGGGAGUUGGGUAUGCUUUUCUGCAAUGAUCUUGUCUUAUUUUCUUUUUUUUUAAAGGAAGGCCUACCUGAAUAAUUCUGUGCAGGAAGAUAAAAGCAAGAUUAGAGUGAGACCUAUUCAGGGAGGUGUCAUUUUGUGAGCAGUUCAUGACCAUACCCAAUAAUCAGGGUCUGUCUACAUAUCUGAAUUUUAAUCCUUACAUAUAUGGCCUUAGAUGAACUAAAAUAAUUAUAAGAAGUUGUGUCAUUGUAGACUUCUAUUAAUAAACAUAUACCUACAUAUAUACAUGUUUAUGCACAAGAAUCAGCCUGUAUAGGCAUAUUUACCUAGGCAUAUUCAUUGCAUAGUGCUCUCAUGGUUGUGACUUGGGUGGGUGUAGCAAAGUGACAGGCCAGGAUCUCACCACAUAGGAAGAACUUUGGUCUGGCCAAGACAGGGCCAGCUAGUGGCCUCCCUGCCAUUAGCUCUGUCUGCCACCCAAGACAGAAGAAGCCAACAGUCCAAAGGGACAUAGCAGCUUCAUUUUGGUUCUAGUUAGUGGUGCCAUAGAAGAGGAACAGGCAGAUAGGAUCUCAUCUAGGCCAUGAGACAAGCAAGAGUUCUCAAGAAGGGUAGACUCUUAGAAACAGGAGGCCAGUGAGACAUGGAUCUAAGAGGCAUAGCCAGGUAGAAGCAGCCCUAGUCAAUGGCUAGAAGUAUAAUAUCCCAAUAAAAGAGGCAUUCUUAGAAAGCUGGGCAGCAUCUCAGGACCAC